Piliocolobus tephrosceles (Ugandan red Colobus) is the source of this 2026-nucleotide long non-coding RNA. NCBI's taxonomy places the organism in Eukaryota, Metazoa, Chordata, Mammalia, Primates, Cercopithecidae. The record is from Ensembl.
GUUUUGGCCAGGCGCGGUGGCUCAAGCCUGUAAUCCCAGCACUUUGGGAGGCCGAGACGGGCGGAUCACGAGGUCAGGAGAUUGAGACCAUCCUGGCUAACACUGUGAAACCCCGUCUCUACUAAAAAAUACAAAAAACUAGCUGGGCGAGGUGGCGGGCGCCUGUAGUCCCAGCUACUCGGGAGGCUGAGGCAGGAGAAUGGCGUAAACCUGGGAGGCGGAGCUUGCAGUGAGCUGAGAUCCGGCCACUGCACUCCAGCCUGGGCCACAGAACGAGACUCUGUCUCAAAAAAAAAAAAAAAAAGAGAUGGAGUUUUGCUGUUAUCGCCCAGGCUGGAGUGAAAUGGCGCAAUCUCAGCUCACUCCAACCCCUGCCUUCCAGGUUCAAGUGAUUCUCCUGCCUCAGCCUCCCAAGUAGCUGAGAUUACUAAAGGCAUGCGCCACUACACCCAGCAAAUUUUUGUAUUUUUUUAGUAGAAAUGGGGUUUCACCAUAUUAGCCAGGCUGGUCUGGAACUCCAGACCUCAGGUGAUUCACCUGCCUUGACCUCCCAAAGUGGUGGUGUUACAGGCGUGAGCCAUCACACGUGGCCCUGUGCCCUUAAUUUAUAGUCUCCCACAGCCAGAACUCUGGGGUUGAGGUGGGUGAUGGACAUGGAGCGGAAGAACAGGGCAGGUGAGUGUUAGCAUGAAGUUGACAGGCAAGAAAGAGGGAGUUUAGGCAUUGGUUGGGAAAAGCCAAGGGAGAUGAAGAAGCUGUGUGCCCUGGCUGGAGCCUGCUCCUUUCCCUUGUGCUGCAUCUCUCCACUACAGGCUGGUACAGAAGGCAGAGCUGGUACGGCUGUCCCAGACACUGAGCCUGGUGCCCCGGCUGCAUUGGCUGCUGGUGGAGGAUGCUGAGAGUCCCACCCCGCUGGUCUCAGGGCUGCUGGCUGCCUCUGGUCUCCUCUUCACACACCUGGUGGUCCUCACACCCAAAGCGCAGCGGCUUAGGGAGGGCGAGCCUGGCUGGGUUCAUCCCCGUGGUGUUGAGCAGCGGAACAAGGCCCUGGACUGGCUCCGGGGCAGAGGAGGUGCUGUGGGUGGGGAGAAGGACCCACCACCACCAGGGACCCAAGGAGUCGUGUACUUUGCUGACGAUGACAACACCUACAGCCGGGAGCUGUUUGAGGAGAUGCGCUGGACCCGUGGUGUCUCAGUGUGGCCUGUGGGGCUGGUGGGCGGCCUGCGAUUUGAGGGCCCUCAGGUACAGGACGGCCGGGUAGUAGGCUUCCACACAGCAUGGGAGCCCAACAGGCCCUUCCCUGUGGAUAUGGCUGGAUUUGCUGUGGCCCUGCCCUUGCUGUUAGCUAAGCCCAAUGCCCAGUUUGAUUCCACUGCUCCCCGGGGCCACCUGGAGAGCAGUCUUCUGAGCCACCUUGUGGAUCCCAAGGACCUGGAGCCACGGGCUGCCAACUGCACUCGGGUAAGGGAAUGGAGGUGGGCAUAGAAACCUGGCUCUGGGACGGACAGGUGGUGGGGGAGGUGCAGUGAGACCCUGGGAAUGGGUAGUUUAAUCAGGAGGGCCUCUCCAGAUUUCCGAUCAGCCUUGCUGAUUCUACUGAAGGGGAAGCUGGGAACCAGCGUGGGAAAGUGGUCCCUGUCACUCUGCCCCGAGUUCUGGAAACCCAUGUGGUACAGAGAGGAUAAAGGAAUAAGGCCCCGUUUUUUUUUUGUUUGUUUGUUUUUUUGAGACGGUGUCUUGCUCUGUUGCCCAGGCUGGAGUGCAGUGGCACAAUCUCGGCUCACUGCAAGCUCCGCCUUCCGGGUUCACGCCAUUCUCCUGCCUCAGGCGCCGGCCACCACGCCCGGCUAAUUUUUUGUGUUUUUAGUGGUGACGGGGUUUCACGGUGUUAGCCAGGGUGGUUUUGAUCUCCUGACCUUGUGAUCCGCCCACCUCGCCCUCCCAAAAGUGUUGGGAUCGCUGGCCGGGCGCGGUGGCUCAAGCCUGUAAUCCCAGCACUUUGGGAGGCCGAGACGGGCGGAUC